Molecule: ribosomal RNA, 533 nt
Filed under: uncultured bacterium
Lineage: Bacteria
Description: bacterial SSU rRNA
Rfam family: Bacterial small subunit ribosomal RNA
Source: RNAcentral
GGCCUUGACAUACUAAGAACUUUCCAGAGAUGGAUUGGUGCCUUCGGGAACUUAGAUACAGGUGCUGCAUGGCUGUCGUCAGCUCGUGUCGUGAGAUGUUCGGGUUAAGUCCCGCAACGAGCGCAACCCUUUUCCUAUUUGCCAGCGGGUCAUGCCGGGAACUUUAAGGAUACUGCCAGUGACAAACUGGAGGAAGGCGGGGACGACGUCAAGUCAUCAUGGCCCUUACGGCCAGGGCUACACACGUGCUACAAUGGUCGGUACAAAGGGUUGCUACCUCGCGAGAGGAUGCUAAUCUCAAAAAGCCGAUCGUAGUCCGGAUCGCAGUCUGCAACUCGACUGCGUGAAGUCGGAAUCGCUAGUAAUCGCGGAUCAGAAUGCCGCGGUGAAUACGUUCCCGGGCCUUGUACACACCGCCCGUCACACCAUGGGAGUUUGUUGCACCAGAAGUAGGUAGUCUAACCGCAAGGAGGACGCUUACCACGGUGUGGCCGAUGACUGGGGUGAAGUCGUAACAAGGUAGGCGUAGAUGA